CGUCGUGUAAUGUCGUAUGUAUGAUAGAGGUGGUGUGGUGAUUGAUCUCCAUGCUAAUGGUUAUCCCCUUUGUUCAACGAAUGAAUGAAGCGUUGAUCAGGAUAGAGAUGAUGGUCUUCGUCUUCUGUCUCCAAGCCGGCCAUACAACAUGGAAAUCAAAUAGAUAGGCGAAGCAACCAAUAGCAGUCUGUUCUCGCCUAUCGAUAGAUAGCAGGUUGCUUCCAAGCUCAAACCAUGAUCAACUGCAUUUUUGCUUGUUGUUAUUAAUGGAGUGGUAUUCUCCCCCCUGUCAAAUAAAAAGAUAACUGGAAGAGAGAAGAAAAGAGCAAACAAAGGAUUUACAAGUCACAUGGGAGAAGAACGUUGAACUGCAUCUUCAACUAUAAAAUAAAACCCCCGGGGCACCGAAGCCUCCCGCGGCAAGCGAGAUAAAGAAAGCAGCUGGACUGCCUUGCCGCGGGAGAGUCUUUCUCCAAUGAGAGAAGGUUUUGGGCAAGACAAAAGACAGGACUCGCCCUUUGACACCAGGGAUAAGAGCAGAUUGCUGGCGAUGACUUGGUGGAAUCCUUGAGAGAAGGUUAUCGAACCUAUAGACUCUACGACUUCGUGGAGACCGAAUAGAGCCCUUUAAGCGAGAGGGCCAUGCUGUUGGCGUCUUACCUACAAGGCAAGAUAAAGGCGGGGGCGGGCGGGAUCAAGCUUGAAAGAAUGGACGGGCCUAGGCUUGAUAGUGAAGGCAGACCCCCUUCAAAAUCAUCGUGUCUGGUGCUAUCUCCUUCAUAAGCUAUGAGGGUUCACCUUUAAUCAAACAUCUACUUGAUUCUCGUAUGGGUUAUCGAGUAAAAACGAAGAAUCAAGCUGAUUGUUGAUUGUUGGAAACUCAUUAUGUGAAUCAAAGCAUUGAAACGAAGAAAAAUAAGUUUCUAGGGUUUAGAAUCAGUAAAUAUUCAAAGCCUUAAACUUUUAGAUGACCCACAUAGCUUAUUUAUAUGUUUAGAAGACUUAGAAGUAGACUAGGAUUGAAAAAGUACUUUUUAAAAACCUGUGUCAUCCUCAGAGACCGGUCCUCUCGAGGAGACCGGUCUGUGAGAGACCGGUCUCUCAAGUGAGGAACCGGUCCCUCGCUGCGUGACCAAAAUCACAACGUUCGGGAACCGGUCUCUUAAGCUUGAGACCGGUCCCUUGCUGCGCGACAGAAAUACCAAGGUUCGGGAACCGGUCUCCCAUCACAGGGGACCGGUUGCAUCAAGGUUCACGCAGUGAGGACCUUAGGGGAACCGGUCUCUUGAACUCUGAGACCGGUCCCAGAACACAGAAAAGUUCAGUAAAGUAGUUUUAACACCAUCUAAGCCUUCUGAACUUAUUCUAACUAGGUAUCUUCACCACAAAUGAUCUUUUCUUCAUACUUUAGGUGUCGAGCUUUCCGAAUGAGUCUUAUUUCUUCAAUUUGAAUCUUUUUUUUCAAAACUUCUGCGAUCAACUCUUCAAGACUCCAACCAACUUUACGAAAUUCGCCAAGCUAUAAAAUCCUUAACAAGGUCCCACAAGGGGGGUGCAGCCUCACCCAUCUUCAAAUGUAGGGUAUUCGUCACCCAGCUCUACUACUCACAGGUACCCCUAUAUAAAUGUUUGCGUCCUUGUGGACUCUUGCGCGACUCGGACAGCACCAUAAAUGCCAAAAUUUUCAUUAAUCUGGGAGGUCGAUGAUAUAAAAUGAGGAUCCCUUUGUGCGUAAGUGCCCUAUAAGCUAUAAGGGUGAGCAAUAUGUAUAAAUAAAAGGAAGGAAGCAUCCAGCAGGAAUCGAACCUACUUGCCCAGGUUAGGCGCUUAAACCAUUCAGCCAUGGAUGCCGAGCCGAGUGAACUAGGUUUUUUUUGUAUUCCUUCUCGAGCUUCUAUUUCUUCCGUUAAGGGAGAUUCGGGAAAAGAUGGAAUAGGAAGACGUGUUUCCAGAACGAACAAGAUACGGGUGGAGAAGGGGAAGUUAGCAAAGUUAGACAAGAUUGGAAUGGGCAUAGGAACAUGUAUUGAUGUACCAGAUCGGCUAAUGCUCCUAGAUUGAUGCGAUGUAUUCCACCAGUUGACUGGAGACUUUAUUAUUGGUAUAUCGAUCGGUCCAGCACGGAUUGAAAUAGGAGCCGAUUCGACAGGAAGCUUUUGAAAACGCAGUGCACCCAGGUAAAUAAGGAACAAGAUGAAUACAGAAGUUAAACGAGCAUCCCACACCCGAAAGGUACCCCACAUAGGCCUUCCCCGAAACCCCCCAGUUACUAAGGUAAACAAAGUAGAAAAAGCACCAAUUUCUGUACCGGUUCCGGAAGAGCGAAGAAAAAGGGGAUGCUUUGUUAAUGGGAACAAGGAACUGUUAAUAGCCGUUGCGAUAUAAAUAACUAUACUCAUCCGAGCCGCAGGAACAUGUACAUACAGAAUACGAGAAUUUCCACCUUGUUGAAGAUCUGGUGGUGCUACCCGAAGACUUAAAUGAAUAGCCAUCGCUGUUAAGAACAACCGAGAUCCAAUGAGAAUUUGCGCGUAGCUUUUUGUCUUUGACAUAAAAAAAGAAGGUUGUAAUAACGAAACAGACAUUUGAUAAUUUUGUCCUUGCCUUGCCAGUGGAACAAGAAAGACUAUAUAGAUUUUGAUAUGAAAUACACAAUCAAAGGAUUUCGCAUUCCAUAGAAUGACAGAAUUUCCCUUGCUUAGUUUUCGCUCUCCCCCUACUAAAAUCCGGAGAAGAACUCCUUCACUAAGGAAUGGAAAUAGAAGGAUGAUUCCUCUGCUCCGCUUACAUCCUUGUAAAGCUUAAGCAAGUACUCUAUUUCGACUUGGUCCACUGUUUGAGAGUAAGCCUCCUCAAGCUCGAACUCGGCCUCAAACUCCUCUCUCCUUUUUUCCAAGAAAGAGAGGAUUGCUUCCUCUGGACUGCUUUCUACGCAGUUCUCCAGUAUAUGGGGAUGACGCUGUACUAAGUCUUUUAGGAUCUUAGUACAGCUUUCCCUCAGCUCCCUUUUCUGGAGAUCUAGGCUCUCGCAGUCCAGCAGAGCGUUAUAUUCACCCUGGGUGGAAGCAGAAUGAAGAGUAUCCUUGACCUCUUUCCAGUUGCCCUCUUCUUUAAGAAGAAGACUGGAUUGGCCAUCCUCCAUACGGAGGAUUCGGUUUAGCGAGUUUUCCAAACUUCGAUUCCUAGAUAAAUUAUUGGGUUCCCUAGGCGGCUCCGGAGCAGCCUGAGCUUCCCCCUCUUGGGGAUCAGGUACCUGCUCUAAAGCAGCCCCAAUAAAGGGGGCAACCAUGUCCCAUAAUUCGUUCAUGAUCACUCUUGAUAAAUUUGGAGAAUGAGCACUGUGAACUAUCCGCUCAAACAGGGAUAGUUGAUCGAACCGAAACCUACGUAAAUAAAGUAGGACUAAAGACGCAUAGGAGUAAAUGAGCUUCUCCUCUAUCGUAAUGCGGUAUUUCUAUUUUUCUUCUUUAUUGGUGUUUUGGCUCGCAAUAAGGCUAGGUCCUGAUCGAGCAAGACGGAGUCCUAUCUAUCUACCUCUCCAGACACAAUAUCUUGAGUACCUAUGAUGGUGACUACAUCUGCUGGCAUGUGAUGUUUGGACAUAGAAUCGAGUCCUUGUGAAUGGGCAAAGCCAGGUGCUCUUAUUUUACGACGGUAGAGACGAUUGCUUCCAUUACUGACAAGAAAGACACCAAAUUCUCCUUUAGGAGCUUCAACUGCGGUAUAGGUAGAAGGAGCUGGUACGGAAAAACCUUCUGUAUAAGGUUCGAAAUGGUGAAUUGAGGUAGAGUAGACCGAUGAUCCGGUAGUUAUUUGGCCGGCUAUGGAAAGAAAAAGCUAGCAUCUGCUCCCCCUAAACUAUAACCGGUCCCAUCUCUCUCCAAACCUAACGUGGUAGUUUCCCAUCAUAGGGCUUUCUAUCUAUAGAUUGAGCCAUUACCCACCAAGGAUCCCAUUCGUUCAGAACUCACUCAGUUGACUGCUUCUAUAGAUAAGGCGGAGCGUCCUUGGUUCAGCAUUAUAGCACAUAGGCUUCGGCGCUACUACAGCGCUUCACUAACUCGAAGCGCCUCGCUAUGAGAAUGAGGCUUCGCUAACGCUCGGCUAAGUCGUCGAACCCUCGCGCUGACUGUUCGCUUUUUCAGUAGUGAAAGCGCUUCUCUUUGCCCCAACACUAAAAAAAAAAAAGUAUUUGGAAAAGAAAGAGAAACUAGGUUUUCUUGCUCCCGCUUCCUCAUCUGCGCUCGUCAAGCCAACUUAGCUUUUUGGGAGGUGAAAGAGCGGUUGAAGCGGACAUUUCGAAAUGACAGCAUCGAAGAUAUCUAUAUACACGGUCACGGUUAUUCCGGACUGCGUUCCGGAGAAAGUAGCCUACUUGACAGACAGGGCGGGCACUCUCGGCUCAGAGGUAGGCACUCUCGUCUUUCAACCCCACCUUACUUUGCAUUUUUUUUUUUGCACUGUUUACUUACAGCCUCUACGAGUUGCAAGUGAAUGGGGCCGGUGCGUGGCGAACAGAAGUGUUCAUCAAGCCAUUUCUCGCCUCAACCCCUAAACACUUUAGGAAGAGGGCUACUUGCUAAUUUGGGGGCAACUGCAUCGCACCUGACUGUGAGGGACCUCUCGAUACCUUAUGUUCACUUUCUAACUAGUAGCCGCUUUCCCGUCGCGGAAGACUUUUCCCAGUGCGCGGAGCCCCAACGAGGAAGGUGUUAGUGCUUUCUCAUGGGGUCAAUAAUGCUAAUCCCUCUUUUUGUGCUACUCCUACGGGAAGAAGAUAAGAAAAGGCGAAGCCUUCUCUUGGUUUCCCAACCUGUUGCUGCUAAAGGCUGCCCUCUCUCGGCUGGAUUUUGGUCCAGCCUACUAUGAGGAUCCUGUAUCCCGUACAUCGUCUUUCUCCCUCCUGGGUUCCCGUGGUUCCUAUGCCGCCGCCUUUCCCGGUCCUUUUCUUUUAGUGCUUCGACCCGAAGCGAUAGCUUGACGCGUUUUCAGUGGAUAAGAUGGCUGCGCUCCAGCUCACUAAAGAAUGGGACGGCAGUGGUCCGCCGGCAAGCUCGUUCUGAUCUUGGACGCAGUACAUUGGAAUCCUGAAGCACCACCACGAACGCUACCGCGCAUGCGCCUGCGGUGUGGGGUAAGGCACCACCCUGUUGUGCCAGCAGCCAACUCCGGCGUGUCAGCUUAGUUAUCCUCAUCAAGCCACAACCUUGAUGUCUAGCUUCCCAACUGGUAGACGGUUCCCUUUCCCCCAAAUCAAUGAAGAAGGGAGAAGUCAGUUGAUUCUUCCGAAGAACCGGAAGCGAAGCGCUAUGCCGGGGCGAGGGGACGGGAAAAGAAACUGCUCCGAAGAAAGAUAUUGGGGUUCCCAAUGCUUCUCCACGCCCAACGAGAUGCACCAACCUCGGGAUGCUUUACUCCUAACCCCACGACGGUUCCGAGACGGAGCUUAACCUGAGUCUCGGUUAAGAACGGCGAUUGUUAAGGAUUUUGUAUUGGCAAGUUUCGUGAAGUGAGUCGGAGUCUUGAAGAAUCGAAGCGAAUUGACAAGAUUUUGGAAAAAAUCAGAAAAUACCUCACGACGUGAAUCACGAUGGUCAGGUAAAGUUUUAAUUCAUGUUAUGGUGAUUCAUACUUAGUUAUAGGCAUUAGAAUCAUUUAAUCAAAAGUUUAGUUGAUUAGAAAGUGCUUCGGAAGUGUACGGAACUCGAAACAAUGCAAAAUCCAAAAAAUUGCAUUGUGUACCGGUACAGCAAUCAAGCCCGUACCGGUACAGCCACUGACUUGGCUUCGUAUUUCUGUUCCGUCCUUGUGUAACCGGUGACAGCUUUUCGUGUACCGGUACACAGUGUAAAAUCGUGAAAUCGUUCUAAUCCGACUCCAAUUUAUUCUAAAGUCUAUAAAUAAGCUAUUGGGCUUCUCUAACAGAAGUAGUAUCACGAAAAUACAUAUUUGAGAAACCCUAGAGGCUCGGAUUUCAUCUAAAACCUAUUUUCUACAAAAAGCCUCUUUUAGAUCAAAUCGAGAUAUUGAAAUUUGAUAUUAAUAUGUCGAUUUGAUCUCCGCUUCGCUUGGAGUUUCUUUCCCUGGUUUUCUACGAUACUCCAAAGCGAAGGAUCACCAUAUUCAUGAUAUUCUUCAUGGUGGCGUCGUGGAUUCGGCGUGUUUGACGGCGGUUCGUGGAUUCGAGUGGCGUCGUGGAUUCGGCGUGAUUGAAGCUUCGUGGAUUCGAAGUGGAGGCGUUCGUGGAUUCGGACGUGAGGGCGUGGACAACCCAGAGGAUUGCGCGAGAUCCAUAGGAGGUCAAGAGAGGUUGAGUCCGUAGAGUCGGUAAAUCACCUUGUAAUCUUUUCUCUUAGUGGAUUAUUUUUUUUCGCGUGUUGAUCCCGUGGGUUUUUCUCCAAAUUGGAGUUUUCCCACGUAAAUCUCGGUGUGCUUUUUAUUUUUCGCAUUUAUUUUUAUUGCAUCGAGAUUUGUGGUUUUUGGCCAUUACACCUAUUCACCCCCCCUCUAGGUGAUAGAUACAAUCUAGAUAGAUCCUUGGGCUCCUCAAAACUUUCAGCGAUGAUCUACGUUUCACACGGUGCACGAUUCCAUGGAUAAUUUCAUUCGAGAUCGUGAUAGAGGACAUAGCUUACGAUCAUCGGCUUUGAUCAUGCCACUAGGCAUUUGAUUAGGACAUUGCACAAUGAUCCGAACACUUUGUCGCAUCUCUUCGAUACGGAUACAGUAACGAUCAUAGCGAUCUCCUCUGGUACCUACUGGUACGUCAGGAUCCGAUUGGUCAUGAACAUCGUAANUUUUUUUUUUUUAAGGAAAAACUCGAGGUCUGGCGCUUAUUACCAUAGUCGCAGCAUAGAAAAGUCAGGUGCCUGAUGAAAUAGUCUAUGAAAGGGGAUGUCACCUGAAAGAACUGAAGACUGCCUCCAUGCAGAGAAGAGAGAAGUCGGUUCUCCCCCCGCUUCGCUCUCCCCCUCGUGGGGAAUUGAGUAGUUUUUAGAGUAGAGUCGAGGAGAUGACGAAGAGCUGAAGAAGAGAAAGUUUACAUUGCGACGAAAGGAGGUCUCGCUUCGACGUUCUCGCGGGGGUUCUUUCUCUUUCUCUCCGCCUUCAAACGAUUGGUUUCGUUUAUUCUCUCCAACAACUCAUGGAGUAUGGAUCCCUCUCAUUGCUUCUAAUUCUCUCUCUUUUCCUACCUUCAGCAAACUGGGGUACAAGGGUUCUAUCAUUAGGUGUGGGCGCUGAUGAACCAUUUGAUGAGCUUAUGGUUUUGCCUUCCUGAAUACAGGAUAGCCCUCGAAUGGAAGAGAACUUUUAGAAGCGCUCUUGAGGUCUGAUGUGGACCCCCUCUUAAGUAAGCUGUUUCCGAAUCAACAAAAUCUCUAUGCUUAACAUAGACGAAUAAGGAUGGGUUCCGCUGGGCUAGAUCGUGAGCUAUAUGCUUAUAACAUCCGAUCGAGGACCAAUCACACAAAGAAAAAAAUGGGAUUACCUGUCUUUCCCCUCUCUUGUCAACUGCAUACUGCAUGGAGUCUUCCCCGGAAAAAAGGCGAGGCUGUCGAUAUGCUAUUCACAGCCUGAGAGUGAGCAGAGAAUAGUCUUUUUAUUUACUUUAUUUGACCUUUUUUACCUUCAUGUGGCAAACUGGGGAACUUAGGUUCUCAAACUUUACUUUAUUUUCUUGCGCGACGAGAUACUGAUAAAGUAUCAGUAGCCCGUUUUCGCUUAGGAAGACAAAGCAGUGUCAAGCCGAGGGACGAGGUCGCGAUGGAGAAGCUGCUCCCGUAAAGGCUCAAACUCUGGGCGCAGGCGCAUCAGGAGCAGAUAUAGGCGCUGGCGAUCACGGAACUGCUGAUAUGUCUUAGCAACUGAGGAGGGAAGCUGGAGGCGGAGGCGAAGAUGAGACUGCAAAAGGAAAGCAUUUCUCGCCAUGUGGUUUUUGACGAGAAAUGUAAAGGCGACCGGUUAGAGGAUCUGAAAGAGAGAGUGUAAGAAAAUUGAGCGAGGGAUCGAGUGGUGCGGGAACUCCGGAUACUGCUAAAUAGUGGUUUCAGUCUCCACAGAAAGGAAUCAAUUGUUAAGAAAGCAUCUCUGGGCCUGGGCUUGGAUCAAGCAAGCUCAUAAUUUUCUUAUAUGCAGGGAGAGAUUGAAAAACUGCAGACGGAGCAUUUGAACGGUGGUAACCAUAAGCAGUUUCCCUUCAACACAAAAGAGGAAAAGGCACGGCUCUUCCGCGCUGUAUGGGAUUUCAAAGGGGGAGGGGGUAGGUAAAUGAGAAAGGUAGAGUAAGAUAUUUUCAUUCUAACAGAAUGAGCGGAUCCAAUACACAUAUUGUCUUUGACANCAGCAGCCCUACUCUCUCUCUCUUUCUAUAUAUAUAUGUGUAUAAAUAUAUAUAAUUCAGCUAAUAUACUAUCUGUAGCAUGGAGGCCUCUUGUGCUACCAAGCUGUUUCGAUAAUGCAGCUUCUGAAUCGACGAUCGACUUUGUUAGCUUUGAUGUACACUAUCAGAAGUAUAUAGAAACCACAUUUUACGAUUUUUCGACAUCAUUUAUCUGUCUAGGGGUACUGAUUUUUCGACGUCAUUUAUCGAAAAAGUAGUCUAAAAAUUAAUGUAUAUAUAGUCUGGCUACUAUGCUAUUAAUAGCACGAAGCACUUGGUGCUACCAAGUUUUCCACCGUUAGAUCUACCAUUUUCAUCAUUUUCACCGUUAGAUCAUACUAUUCAACUAAUCACCCACUCAACCCUAAGGGGCCCACAUCAUCCUAACCACACAUCUCUUAAUCCAAUGGUCAAAAACUUGGUAGCACCAAUGACUUGGUGCUAUUAAUAGCAUAAUAGCCUAGUUCUAUAUAUAUAUAUAUAUAUAUAUAUAGUGGCUUCCUUUUUCUUUUUUUUUCGACGUCAUAUCUAUUCGUUGUAAUGAUUCAUCUUCUUUUUCCCCGCGUUCUCUGUUGAUUUUGUGUUUCAUUAUUGUUAAAUUGCGUACAAAUUUUCUAUAGUUUUCUGCAUUGCAAGUAUUCAAUACAUUUUUUUUAUUUAUUUUUAAUUUUUCAGUGUAGUAAUGGCAGCUCUAUUNAUUAAUUAUUAGUAAUUUAAUGUGUUGGUAUGUAAGUGUACUCGCAUUUUCUAUGUAUAUUUAGUAUUAAUUUGUUAUAAAAUAAUUUGUAUAGUUAUAUUUAUUGUGUUAUUUUUCUAAUACCUUAAUGGUCCUUUUUUCUGAGAAUUGAGCCAAAUUUGGCGGCUAUAUGCAUGAUGCCGUUUAUGCUGGGAGUGUGCUUCCUCUGCCCCUUAAUGGACUGCCUCUAGUACAAAUACCAUUACUGCCCUAAUUGCGGCGAAAAGGUAUUAUCUUUCCGUCCUACCUUCUUUUUCUAAGUAUACUCACUACGGAAAUAAAUAUUAUUCAAAAAUAUUAAUGAAUAAUAAAAAAAAUAAUAUUAAUAGUUUUAAUAAUUGACUAUUGUAUCAACUUUCCGCCGCAACGCGCGGGGUUCCUUAACUAGUAUUAAGUAUUAAUGCGAAUCCGGAGAAAGCUCCCUCCACGUUUUGGGGUUGUUGGGCCCGCUUGGUACGAAUUCUCUUUAAGCGCAUUAAUGAGGGUUUANAACAAAGUGGAAGCACGGAGGCCUCCGUGCUUACGAAAGCACCCCAGCCCACUCUAUAUAUAUAUAUAUAUAUAUAUAGAGAGAGAGAGAGAGAGAGAGAGAGAGAGAGUCCGGCUAUUAUGCUAUUAAUAGCAUGAAGCACUUGGUGCUACCAAGUUUUCCACCGUUAAAUCUACCAUUUUGAUCAUUUUCAUCCGUUAGAUCAUACUAUUCAACUAACCACCCACUCAAUUCUAAGGGGCCCACAUCAUCCUAACCACACAUCUCUUAAUCCAAUGGUCAAAAACUUGGUAGCACCAAUGACUUGGUGCUAUUAAUAGCAUAGUAGCCUAGUUCUAUAUAUAUAUAUAUAUAUAUAUNNNNNNNNNNNNNNNNNNNNNNNAUAUAUAGUGGCUUCCUUUUUCUUUUUUUUUCGACGUCAUAUCUAUUCGUUGUAAUGAUUCAUCUUCUUUUUCCCCGCGUUCUCUGUUGAUUUUGUGUUUCAUUAUUGUUAAAUUGCGUACAAAUUUUCUAUAGUUUUCUGCAUUGCAAGUAUUCAAUACAUUUUUUUUAUUUAUUUUUAAUUUUUCAGUGUAGUAAUGGCAGCUCUAUUUGGUUAAAUUUAUUUUUGACAAAUAUAGCGUGACAUCUACCAGCAUUUUUCUGUCUACACAGGCAUAUAGUAUUUCGAUUGAAAAUGAAGGGCUUGUUAGUAUUUACAUUAAUGUUAAAGUCUUCAUAGGAGAUUCUGAUACAAAGGUAAUUAGGUGUUGGCGUGCACCCUCCAAUGUUGAUGAGACAGAAGAGGACGUUGCACACCACGCUUUUGCCAAGUCACGUGAUGAGUUCACCUUUGAGCUGAAGGAUGUUAAUCUAGAAGAUAAAAGCUUUAUGAGAAUCUAUAUGAGCGAGUUUUUGUGCACUACAGUGAUCUCGGCAAUAAAUAUAAGUUCUUUGGAGGUGACUUAUGCAUUUUAAAGGUUGCUACAAUAAUCUAUUUACCGAGAAAGACUAGUAUGCUUCUGAACGAAGAAAAAUAAAAGAAAAUUUGAAAAAGUAUUUCUAUCUAAUCAAAGGGCCCUAGGCUGUUGCACUUGGACCAAGUAGUAGCGAGGGAAUUUCUGAGGAAGACCCUACAGUGCCGUUGGGGUAAUAUGAGGAUUGACGGAUUGUCGAAGCUGGCUUCCUUUUGUCGUACUUUUUAAUUUAAUUUUUUCUAUUUUUUAUAUUGUUAUUAUGUUUAGGUCUCUUGAUAUUUCUCUUUCUCUCUCUCUCUCUCUCUCUCUCUCUCUCUCUCUCUCUCUCUCUUCUUUUUUUUUAUUUUUUAUUUUUUUUUUUUUGAGAUCCUGCUUGUAUGGCUUAUGGCCUGACUAUAGUAUUUUUUUGGGAUAAUUUCAUAGAUGCCCCUCUAGAAACUAUUAAUUUCAUCAAUACCCUUCCAAAAUUAGUAAUAUCACAAAUGCCCUUCAAAAUGUGAAAAAUUAUCAUAAAUACCCUCCUCUAGUUAAGACCCGUUAAAGCCCAUUUGAAUCGGAGUUAAAAUUUUAAAAUACCAUUUUUACCCUUUAUCUCUUUUUAAUAGUAGAAAUACUAAUAGGUAUUUCAAAAUAAUUUUUGUAAAUCUAAAUUUGAGUAUUUAAUAUAUAAAUAGUUAAUUAAAUUAUUAAUAUAUAUUAAUUAAUAAAAAAUAUAUAAAAAUUGUAUUUUAAAUAUAGUAUGUUUUUAUCUGAUUUUGGUUUUGUUUUUGGUUUUGGGUUUCGGUUCAGAUUCGGUUUAAAUAUAGACCAAAACUAUAUAACUGAAUUUACAUACGACGGGAUUUUAUUUUUUGGUAUCUAUAACUAAAACUAUCCCCUAUUCAGCAUUGAUUAAACUUAUCCCAUUUUAAAUCGAGUUUAGAUAAAAUUCCGUAUCUAUAUCAAUUCACAUUCCUAAUUAGUAAUAGUAAUUUUGAAAUAAAUUAUAGAUUUUAUUUUUUUCCUAUUUAAAAAUAAAUCACAUAAUUGUUUUGUCGAUUGAAAUAAAAAGAGAGUUUUGUUCAAAAGCUAAAAUAUAUUAUAUUUCAGUUUUUUAAUACACUUAAUGCAGAUAAAAUUAUCGAGAAUAAUUUUGAUUAAAAAAAUUUUUAAGUUUUCAAGAUUAAAGAAAGAUCGGAUAAUUCCUUAACAUUAUUUUCAUUUAAAUUUUUAUAUAUAGUUAUUUAUUUGAUAAAAAAUAAAUAGAAUCAUUAGAUUUGGUAAAAUCAUAAAAAAAAACUAAAAUUUUUUUUUUUUUUUAUACACUGAAAUUAGGUUUUUUUUAAAAUAAAAAGUUAAUGGGAUAUCAACUAAAAAAUGAAAGUUGAGGGAGCUGUUUCAAAAUUGCAUAUAGUUGAGGGGGUUUCCAUAUAUUUUUAGUUAAAAGAUAUUUGAGGGUAAAUAAGUCAUUUUAUAAAUUAACCUAUCUUUAACCAUGUAAUAACUAUAGUAAAACUAACAUAACUAACAGUAGGGGUAUUAAUGCUAAUUUUUUGUGUUUACAGGGGUAUUGAUGAUAUUUUAAACUUUAUAGGGGCAUCUAUGAUAUUUUAAACUUUGGGAGGGGUAUCCAUGAAAUUGCCCCUAUUUUUUUCUACUCCUUUUCCUAUUUUCCUCUUUAGUCUCUUGCUCAUGUUCGAUGUAAGCAUCAUCUUUUCCCGUGGAAGCGCUUGCUAAUUUUUGGUUAUGAUUGUUAUAUUAGAGCUAGGCUGGUAUAUUAUUGGUAGUACGGAGGCCUUCAUGCUACCAAGUUAUUUUCAAUGAUGCGACUUUCAAAUCGAUGAUCGGCUCCGUUAGACUUGAUCUACACUAUUAAAAGUAUUUGGAAAUUAAAUUUCAUAAUUUUUCGACAUUAUUUGGCUAGUGAUCAAAAGGUCUCAAAAUUGACAAUUUUAAUGGUAGAUGUGAUGCGUUUGUAAAUUUAAUGGUGUAAAAUAAUCAAAAUCUAAUGAAAUUUUUAUGGAAAUUUCUUUUCACUAUUUAGAGUAAGAUCAGUAUCUCUUAUCUUAAAUUUAAAUAUUUUAUCAUCAUUUUUAUGAGAUUUUUAUUUUCAGCCAUUCAUUUUUCGACUACUCGUUUGAUAGGUAAAUGAUGUCGAAAAAUUAAGAAAUUUAGUUUCCAAAUACUUUCAAUAGUGUAGAUCAAGUUUAAUAGAGCCGACCGUCGAUUUGGAAACUAUAUCAUUGAAAACAACUUGUUAGCACGAAGGCAUCCGUGCUAUCGAUAGUAUACCAGGCUAGCUUGUUAUAUUAUGUGUUUAUAUAUCCACAGGUUUUUUUUUUUUUUUUUUCCUGUGCCUCCCUUUCGUAUUUAGGGUUUGCGUAUAUACUUUUGCGUUUUGCUCUAUAUGCUGUUUUCAGUUCAAAUAUUGUUGCUUAUCUUUAUGUUUAUAGUGCUCUGUUAUAGAUAUUUAUAUUCUGUAUUCUGAACAUUCAAACAACAAGAGAUCAGAAAAUUAUCCUUGUUGUUUUUAAGCACGUGCACUUUCAGAAGAUUAAGAAGUUAAAGACAUAAUUAUAUGGAAAUAACAAGAAUUGCUAGUGAUUUAGUAAAUAUUAAUAUAAUUUAAGAAUUUGAAUGCCCAUCAUGUUAUGAUGCUUAUACCAAUCAUAAACUUAAUAUAUGAUCUGAUCAUUUAAUAUAUUAUCUUAUCAUCAUACCAAAUAUUUUUAUUAACUGUCCAAAAUUAGAAAGCUAGUAAAACUCAGGCACAAGCAUUUAUAUUUAAGAGGAAACUUCAGAUAUCUGCUAUGGUUUAUUCUUGUAGUUUUUAUUUUCACUUUUCAUUAGCAUUACCAUUAUCUCAUCUAUUAAAACUAUCACAUGCUGCACACGUGUAUUGGAGGUGUUCCGAAAAGGUUGAUACGAAAGUUCCGAAAAAUCAAUAAGAAAGUCAUAAGUCAUCAUAGGACUUAACCGGAAUGUUUUUGGAGUCCCCAAUAGCAAAAAAAAUAACGAUCUACCAUGCAUGUGCACGACACGUGACAAUUAUAACGAAAAAAUGGUGAUAGUGCUAAUAACAAGCAUAACCAGAAACUGUAAAAAUACUUAAGUGAACCUCCGGACACAAAUGAAAAACAGUAAACUACAUACAUGGUAUCUAAGAUUUUUCUUAAAUUUAAUAACACUGUAAGUAAUCCACUUUUGACAGUAAAAUAAUUAUUGGUUACUAGUAAUCCGUGUCGCUCUCACUAUAGUCCAUAUUAUAUAUGGAUAUGAUAUCAGUACAUCAUUUGUCUUUCUUACAAUACGACGACUAGGACUAGAAUGUUCUUAUGAUUACAUAAGAAUAUGUAACAUUAAGAAUAUGUAUGCCAUACACCUCGCUGGGAUUGUAGUUCAAUUGGUCAGAGCACCGCCCUGUCAAGGCGGAAGUUGCGGGUUCGAGCCCCGUCAGUCCCGAACUAGGAUCCGGUGAAUUUAUCAAUUCAUCUCUCUCUUUUCACGGAAAAGGGGGACAGGAAGCAAGAUCUAAUCCCCAGUGGGGAGGGAUCCUUAUUUCUUUUGUUUUUUAUUUCGCAUUUAUCAUCACACAAAUACGGAUACGGGAAUUUCAAAUCUUUCCACUACUCCCGAUUGAUAAAGGAGAGACAUAUCAUAUGUACAUUAGUACAAUCGGUGGUAUUACUAUAUUCAGUAUUUUAAGAGAUACCAUCCUCGUCUUACUUUCUUUUUCGAUUGUUCUUGAUCCAUGAAAUAGAGUAGAGUUAUUUUAUCGGGAGUACAUACACAAAUUCUAUUCGUUUAUUGUAUGAUGGACAAUGAACUUAACAUAAUUAUCUCGACAAAGUACUUUUCAGAUUAAACCAUACUUUUCUAAUUAUGACUUUGUUUGUGUAUCCUCAAUGACUAAUUGUAAACAAUCUAUCUCAUUCUCAUUCAAAUUGCAGACAUCAUUUUUGAUGUACGCGUUUCAGUGCAAAAGAAAAGAAAAAAGCAAGCGAGGACUCUUUUUAGAAAGAGUCAACUCUUUCUUAUAUUUCUAAGGAUCUAGUUCAUGAUACUUUACUUAAUUAAGUAAAGUAUCAUGAAAAGCAAACAAAAAAGUUUAGCUCUUUUUUCUCAUUGAAAGAUUGGUUAUCCACUUUUGACCGUAAAAAAAUUAUUGGUUACUAGUAAUCCGUGUUGCUCUAAAUAUCGAUGUUUUUUCGAAAUGUAAUGAAUAGAAGAGCAACCGAUAAUCCACAUAAAAGAACUGCACAGCUCAAUAACAUCAUACUUACGUGCAUCAUUAACCACUGAGAUUGUAGAGCAGGUACUAAUAUUGCAGAUUGAUGCAUUUCAGUUGAAAGACCCGACAUGGCAAAGCCUUGAGUAAAAAUGGUACUUGGUGCAAUUAUUGUGUCUAAAUCAUUUUGAAGGUUACGUAUCUUAGGAAUCAUAUGAAUAAUGAAGAAACUAUAUGAAAGAAAGAUUGAUGACUCCCAUAAAUUACUUAAUGAAAAAUACCCUGAAGAAAUCCAACGAUGAACUAAUAAUCCUGUUAUAGAGAAAAAAGUAGCUAUCAUCCCUUUUUCUGACCAACCACAUAAUCCUACAAUUUUGUGGACUAAUAAGGUCAUCACAUAAAUCAUAAUCACAAUUGAAAUGAUCGACAAAGAGAUAAAGAGAUACUGAGUUACUAUAUACUAGAUGGACAUGAGAACACCAAAUUGCCGGCAAAACAAGAAACCACACUAGGACUCGGCACAAGUUGCCAAAAAGCACUUUUUUUUUUUUUUUCAUUAUGAUUAAAAUAAUAUGCCUAUAUACAAAGGAAUUGCUCAAAACUCGAAAGGGAAUGAGCGUCUCACUUACAUCGUGAACCAAAACUGUUUUUGUAAUUUAUAUAGGACAUUAGCAUGCUACAGUAUAUAAAGACCGAGUAGUAUUGAGUAUCGAGUCAACCAGCUGCCGUUCAAUUAGAGUACAACUUCCAAACUUUCAGCUCACCGGCUCCAUCUCCUGUAAAAAAGAGACCACCAGGGCCGAUCUCUAAAGUCCUCACUUCCUCCUUGGAAAAAAUCCUCCCUCUUUCAUUGAAUCUGGGAAAUAUAAAGUGCACACGGUAAAACAGGGAAACAACAUUUCAUAGGAUAAUACAAAGCAAGAGUAAGUUACUUUAGUUAUAUGACACACUUACGAUGGUAGGUCGUAGACACGCACAACAUUGUCGUUGCAUGAGCACAUGAGCACCGGACUGGCUUUAGCAUCAUUCACUCCGUGCAGCACAAGCACUCCCUGCAGCAAUUAACAAUAGAUGACAUUAAUGAAAGUAGGGUUAGGUAGAGCUCAAGGACGUAGCUUGCAUAAGCGCGCGUCAUACAAUACAUCAGUUCAACACUACGUAAUUAUAUGGUUCUAUUGAGUAAAAUAAGCAAAAAUAAUCACUUGACUCGUUGAAUAAAUGGAAAUCUCCACCAGUAUUACACCAUGAAAUUGUUCUAAGCACACUAUCUACAUGACAGAAGACACAUUAUUGAAGAAAAGAUCCAAAGUAGAAGAGCAGUUUGCUAGAUGAAUAAGGCCCACUAGUACAGCAGUGCCAAAAUGAUUGAUGUAAAAAUAGGAAAGUUUGAUAUCAAAUCAGAUGCACAAAAUGAAAUGCUUCAGUAUACACUAUGUACAAUGAGAUUAAGUUCCAACUCUAGUAGCAUCAUGCAAAGUUGCCAUCAAAGAGCACAAGACAAUCACAAAAAUAAAGAAAUACAAAUUUAGCGUUUGAGGUCUCGUAAUUGAUUAGGCCAAGAAAGAUGAAGAAGAUUCCGAAUUUUUUAUGACACCACAUGCAAAAGGUAAUCAUUAGAAUUAUAAGCAGCCUACUGAAAAGCAAGACUACUAAAACUUAUAGGUAGGCUAAGUUCUUACAUGCUCUUCCUUGUGGGUAUACUCUACUUCUAUCCCAUUGUUUUCUGCAGCAGCCCAGACCUGCAAAAGACAAAGCAGUAAGAACACACAAUAAAAACGGCAAUUCAAAUGAGAUGUGUUCAAAGUACAAAAAAUUCGGACCUUCACCGUUCCAUCCAAGGAGCAAGAGAACAAAAACUGGUCCCAGCAUAACAGUGACAUAACAACUGAUUCAUGGCCUGUAAGGGUGUGCGUGCACUGGAGAGUUGCAAAGUCCCAAACCUGAAAGAAAAUCCUAAAAGUUAGAUCAUCUCAAUUCCUUUGAUAUUAGUAAAACAAAGAACUCAAAAUAUAGACUGAAAUCCCACAUUCUAUGUAAAUUCUACAAUUUACAAGAGAUACAGAAUCAAAGGCCCAGGUGAAAUAAACUAGUAGGAAUUUUCACACAUCUUUGCAGUCAAGAAUUAUCAAAAAAAAACUCAAUAUUUAUAAUGUUAGUCCUGUCUCACACUUGUAUAGAGCUUCAAUUGAUUAUAUAAUAAUGUGAAAUUCAACUCUAGUGAAGCCUUGGAUGCUAGCUAUGUAGAUGAAAAAGUUUUAACAGGACAAUCUACAUAAAAAACUUCCCUCUUGUGCCAAGCAAUCUAAGGCACAUUCUACGUAAAUGCUACAAUUUACAAAAGAUCCAGAAUCUAAGGCUGUAAGGCGCAUAUAAAAUAAACUAGUGAGAAUUUUCGGAGAUCUUUCCAGUCAAGUAACUUUCUAAAACUUUAAUAUUUAUAAUGUUAGUCCUAUCUACACUUGUAGAGAGCUUCAAUUGAUUAUAGGCUGGAAAAUUCAAAUCUGGUGAAGCCUUGGAUGUUAGCGUUGUUGCUAAAAGAGUUUAACCGAACAAUAUACAAAAAAAACUUUCCUCGUGCCAAGCAAUCCAAUCUUAAAACAGCUGAUAUUAUAGGAGCUUACAAAGUUGUGAAAUUUAAUACUGGAUCUGGAUGUGAUGAGUCGAAUCAGCAGAAACCAUUUCCCAAACAUCAAUUGGUCAUACUAUACAUAGACAAGUCUUGACGACCAAGAUAAAUAUCAACCAAGACCUAGUAUUUAAAAGGUAAGAAAAGGCUGAUGACUGAAUUAUUUGAAGAUCUGAAACAUUUCACUCUAGAUGUGUUAUUCACCUACAUAUGAAAUCGACAACAUAUAAGCUAAAUGAGAUAAAUGUAUUGAAAGUUGAAACGAAUUCGCACACAUGAUUCAUAGGGCCAUUAAGGAAUAUCAGAAGAUAAAUACUGCUUCAGCAUAAAAGGAUAUAAUUAUUCAUGAUCAAUUCUAUUCAGCAUAACUUCCUAGGAUUUUUUAAGCACAUGCACAAGCAAGCAUCUUUUCGUUUGGAGGAUUGAUGGGAUUAUUC
Molecule: long non-coding RNA, 17832 nt
Filed under: Ananas comosus (pineapple)
Lineage: Eukaryota; Viridiplantae; Streptophyta; Magnoliopsida; Poales; Bromeliaceae
Description: long non-coding RNA (ACOM_LNC031554)
Rfam family: tRNA (bases 13930-14003)
Source: RNAcentral